Molecule: ribosomal RNA, 477 nt
Filed under: uncultured bacterium
Lineage: Bacteria
Description: partial 16S ribosomal RNA
Rfam family: Bacterial small subunit ribosomal RNA
Source: RNAcentral
GACGAACGCUGGCGGCGUGCUUAACACAUGCAAGUCGAACGGUAAGGCCUUCGGGGUACACGAGUGGCGAACGGGUGAGUAACACGUGGGUGAUCUGCCCUGCACUUCGGGAUAAGCCUGGGAAACUGGGUCUAAUACCGGAUAGGACCACUGCCUGCAUGGGUGGUGGUGGAAAGCUUUUGCGGUGUGGGAUGGGCCCGCGGCCUAUCAGCUUGUUGGUGGGGUGAUGGCCUACCAAGGCGACGACGGGUAGCCGGCCUGAGAGGGUGACCGGCCACACUGGGACUGAGAUACGGCCCAGACUCCUACGGGAGGCAGCAGUGGGGAAUAUUGAGCAAUGGGCGCAAGCCUGAUGCAGCGACGCCGCGUGAGGGAUGACGGCCUUCGGGUUGUAAACCUCUUUCAGCACCGACGAAGCGCAAGUGACGGUAGGUGCAGAAGAAGGACCGGCCAACUACGUGCCAGCAGCCGCAGUAA